UUAAUUGAAGCCAAAAAGAGGCAUGUCAUUGUUAAUGAUAAAAUUGAAUUAUAUUCCAAUUAAA
RNAcentral lists this transfer RNA (64 nucleotides) under Desmomyia sinensis. Its description in RNAcentral is "tRNA-Asn". The record is from RNAcentral. Lineage: Eukaryota; Metazoa; Arthropoda; Insecta; Diptera; Rhagionidae.